Molecule: long non-coding RNA, 1480 nt
Organism: Numida meleagris (helmeted guineafowl)
Lineage: Eukaryota; Metazoa; Chordata; Aves; Galliformes; Numididae
Exons: 3
Source: RefSeq, a predicted model, not a curated record
CUGCCCCUGGGGAAGGAUCUCUUUCUGGAGCUCCCCUUUUUUGAGGAGCUUUUCCCUUUGAACCCAGCAUCUUCUGAUACAGGGUUUGAUUACACACAUCAAUUUUGGUGAGCCAACCAGGAGGUGUUCUGCCUGGCUGCAGGACCAGCUGAGAGUGAGGACUCCUUUGGCAUGCCCCAAGAUUUCUCAGAAGAACUCCCUCUCUCACCCAGUCACUGCGGGGGCAGACAAGAACCAUUAGCAGACCAGGAGUGAGAUGCGGCACAGCUGCAGAGCAAAUGUGGAACCCCAAUCUGCAGUUCUGUGCUCUCUGCGAGGGGAGCAGCCGGGGAUGGAUGAAGCAAAAGGUCUUAUGUAUAUGUGACUUAAGUGUUUAAAGUGCCAGAGGAGUGGAACCGUGAGGAAGGAGUAAAUGUCUGGUUUUCUUGGUUGUGUAAACCAUACUGGUUAUUGUCACUGUCUUUGUGAUUGUUAAGUAUUUGUGUUGUAAAAGUGUUAUUUGUGGAAUUCCAUUUCUUGUUUAAACUCUCCAAUAUUUAAGGUUGGCUGAAAUAGAAGGUUAUUAUAGGACAAGGGGUGUCUAAAGAGAUACUGAAAAGACCCCUUGGGUUGUAUUUUGGCUCACUGGAAAGACAUCACCCGUGAGCCAGGGGAAGCAUUGAAUAAGAAACUGGGAGCAUAAAUUAAAUAAUAGGACCAGUUUUUAUACCUGAAUAUUCUAAUUGUAAGACCAAGGCACAGGGUGUUUGUGGAAGUCCAAGAACUGUAUUGUUGGACUCAUGGGUCUUGAAGGGAGUGGGACAAACUGUUUUGAUGGUAUAUGGAAGUGUAAUUGAGGGUAAUAGUGGAAUUGUGGAAAAAAAAUGGCAAAAGGGUUAAGGUAAAACAGCGAGUUUGAGAUAUUAGAGCUUGUGAUCUGUGCCGGAUGAGGCAGAUGGGUGCCAGCACAAGAACACCCCCCACAGGGAUCUAGGAAACCCAGUAUCCCAGCGCUGGAAGCCUCUGGCAGGAGGGGUUGAGGUAAAACUGAAAUAUGUUAGUUAAGUGUUUAAAUUGUCUUCAGCCUGAGGAAGCCUUAGACACACUUCAGUGUUUUCAGUGCAAUAAGUGUCUUCUGUUAAAGCAGGAAGUUAUUUUUAAGCAUAUUGGGUGUAGGAGUGGAGUGCCCGGGAGAUCAGAAAUGGAAGGGGGACAAGGCAAAGAGGCCCCCUACCAGAAAAACCCCUUGGGAUGCAUUCUGUUACACUGGUGAGACAUUGCUGGGGAACCAGGGAGCACAAUGAGCAAAAAGACGCUCAUUAAAUAUUGUAAUCAGCAGUGGCUCCUGUAUAAAUUGGAGACAGGAGAAAUGGCCCAUUAAUGGCACUCUGAAUUAUAACAACCUUUCGCAAUUAAUGUUAUUCCUGAGAAGGGAAGGUAAAUGGGAUGAAGUGGCAUAUGCAGAUACGUUCUUUACCCUUAAAAAACACCCUAAAUAGCA